This is a long non-coding RNA of Sapajus apella (tufted capuchin), 153 nucleotides long. RefSeq lists it as uncharacterized. Lineage: Eukaryota; Metazoa; Chordata; Mammalia; Primates; Cebidae. The record is from RefSeq and is a predicted model, not a curated record. The transcript is spliced from 3 exons.
CUACAUUAUAGAUUAAAUGGACCUAACAGACACUUACAGAACAUUUCUCCCAACAGCUACAGAAUACUCAUUCUUUUCGUCAGCACAUGGAACAUUCUCCAGGAUUCACCAUAUGUUAGAACACAAAACAAUUCUCAAAAAUCUUUUAAAAAU